AGGAAUAUCCCCUGGAGUAGGAAAUGGCAACCCACUCCAGUAUUCUUGCCUGGAAAAAUGCAUGGACAAAGGAGCCUGGAGGGCUACAGUCCAUGGGGUUGCCAAGAGUCAAACAUGACUGAGCAUGCAUGUACGCACUCCACCUGGAUAGCAGCGGGUUAGAACAGAGUGCAGAUUAAGCCGCAAGAUCGGGGUCUGAGCUGGGUUUACAAUGGUCUGAUUCACACCUGCCCUGCGUCUUCAUUUAUGUGUGCAUUCCAGACACAAAGGAUGCUAGGGAAGAAUGUGAAUGGAGCAUUCACAAAUUCAUCACAGCUUCUCAAAGAACAAAGUGCAGGAAACAAGGCUCAAGAAAUGUUGCAUGGCUUGGUCUUUCACGUGACUCAGAAGAGGCAAAAGUGAAAUCUGAAAUCCUGCUGACUCUAAAGCCUGUGCCCUCAACCAUUAGGUUUUGUAGCGUUUCCACUCCUUCUGUUUUGCUUCCCUGUCUGGGCUCCUUCCUAGUUCAAGAUGGACAGUCAUCCAUAAGUUCCAUGUCACAUCUGUCAUCCUGCGUUCAAAG
Molecule: long non-coding RNA, 562 nt
Organism: Bos taurus (domestic cattle)
Lineage: Eukaryota; Metazoa; Chordata; Mammalia; Artiodactyla; Bovidae
Source: Ensembl